RNAcentral lists this ribosomal RNA (490 nucleotides) under uncultured bacterium. Its description in RNAcentral is "partial 16S ribosomal RNA". It matches the Rfam family "Bacterial small subunit ribosomal RNA", at positions 30 to 507 of the family's 1533-position model. The record is from RNAcentral.
AUCGAACGCUGGCGGCAGGCCUAACACAUGCAAGUCGAACGGUAACAGGAAGACGCUUCCUUCUUUGCUGACGAGUGGCGGACGCGUGCGUAAUGUCUGGGAAACUGCAUGAUGCCGGGGGAUGACGACUGGAAACGGUAGCUAAUACCGCAUAACGUCGCAUGUUCAUUGUUGCGGACUAUCUGGUCUCUUGCCAUAGUAUCAGCCCUGAUGGGAUUAGCUAGGAGGUGGGGUAACGUCUCACAGAGACGACGAUCCCUAGCUGGUCGGAGAGGAUGACCAGCACAACUGGAACUGGGACACGGUCAAGACUCCUACGGGAGGAAGCAGUGGGGAAUAUUGCACAAUGGGCGCAAGCCUGAUGCAGCCAUGCCGCGUGUAUGAAGAAGGCCUUCGGGUUGUAAAGUACUUUCAGAGGGGAGGAAGGGAGUAAAGGUAAUACCUUUACUCAUUGACGGUACCCGAAGAAGAAGCACCGGCUAACUACGUG